UACGUAGGGGGCAAGCGUUAUCCGGAUUCACUGGGCGUAAAGGGAGCGCAGGCGGCAUGGCAAGUCUGAUGUGAAAACCCGGGGCCCAGCCCCGGGAGUGCAUUGGAAACUGCCAGGCUGGAGUGUCGGAGGGGUAAGCGGAAUUCCUAGUGUAGCGGUGAAAUGCGUAGAUAUUAGGAGGAACACCAGUGGCGAAGGCGGCUUACUGGACGACUACUGACGCUGAGGCUCGAAAGCGUGGGGAGCAAACAGG
RNAcentral lists this ribosomal RNA (253 nucleotides) under uncultured bacterium. Its description in RNAcentral is "partial 16S ribosomal RNA". It matches the Rfam family "Bacterial small subunit ribosomal RNA", at positions 524 to 776 of the family's 1533-position model. The record is from RNAcentral.